AUUGAACGCUGGCGGCAGGCCUAACACAUGCAAGUCGAGCGGAUGAAGGGAGCUUGCUCCUGGAUUCAGCGGCGGACGGGUGAGUAAUGCCUAGGAAUCUGCCUGGUAGUGGGGGAUAACGUCCGGAAACGGGCGCUAAUACCGCAUACGUCCUGAGGGAGAAAGUGGGGGAUCUUCGGACCUCACGCUAUCAGAUGAGCCUAGGUCGGAUUAGCUAGUUGGUGGGGUAAAGGCCUACCAAGGCGACGAUCCGUAACAGGUCUGAGAGGAUGAUCAGUCACACUGGAACUGAGACACGGUCCAGACUCCUACGGGAGGCAGCAGUGGGGAAUAUUGGACAAUGGGCGAAAGCUUGAUCCAGCCAUGCCGCGUGUGUGAAGAAGGUCUUCGGAUUGUAAAGCACUUUAAGUUGGGAGGAAGGGCAGUAAGUUAAUACCUUGCUGUUUUGACGUUACCAACAGAAUAAGCACCGGCUAACUUCGUG
RNAcentral lists this ribosomal RNA (484 nucleotides) under uncultured bacterium. RNAcentral describes it as "partial 16S ribosomal RNA". It matches the Rfam family "Bacterial small subunit ribosomal RNA", at positions 30 to 507 of the family's 1533-position model. The record is from RNAcentral.